UUCAAUUCUUUUCUUCAUGGCCGUAUGUAGCAAGGGAACACCAUGGCUAGGGUUUGUUCAUCUUCCAAGCUUCAUGGUAAGUCCGUUCUAGCCCCGUUUUUCUUGUUCUUUGUAUUUUUCGCAUCCCGAUAACUUGCUUAAGCUAUCUCUACCAUUAAUUCGAGCUAGAAUUUAUGUCUGAAAAAUUACCCAUAGAUGAAAAGUGUGAAUUUUGAUGUUUCAUGAUAGAAUAUGAAGCUUAGAAUUAUGUUAAGCAACUUUUGCUAAGCGAUUUUGAGUGAAAACGAGUAAAACGACAUAAUCGAUAAAAAUACUAAAUGUUCAUAAGUAAGUGUUAGAGUUGGAAUUUGAUGUUUCUAUAGAAGGGAAAAAUGUUCAACAUGUCAUAAUACAUAAGAAUAAGGGAUGAAGUUUAAUUUACGAGCUUUGGGGCAAAAGUGUAAAUAUGUAAAAGUUUAGGGGCAAAAUUAUAAUUUUACCAAAGUUUGAGUCAAGGACUGUUUUGAUAAAUGUGAGUACUAAAUAAGUCAAAUGUGUUAUUAUAGAUCAAGAAAGAAGUGGAAUCGACCUUGACCGGAGAAAAGGAAAGAUUAAAGACUAAAUUGCUAAAUUUUUAUAUUAUUGCAUCAAAGUAAGUUACUUGUAAAUAAUAGUUAUAUUUUUAUAAAUUGUGAAUUAUAUUUGAUAUGUGAAUUAAUAUUGAAUGUGGAAGGAAAAUUGUUCAUGAAUUAUUCAAGUGAUAAAGUGUUUAAAAUAAAGUGUUAAGUGUAAAUUCCCGGUUGAACUUAGGAAUAGAAGUGGAUACAAGUGACAUGUCACUAGAGAUCAGUGUUACAGUGUUACAGUGAGUCCCGGGUGCUGGGUGAUCUAGCAUGUGUUGCAGACACCUGACAGCUUGUGUGAGCAGGCCCGUGGACAUUUCCAGUGUUAUUGAUCAGUGGUAGCUUCGGCUACGUAUCAGUGGUAGCUUCGGCUACGUAUCAGUGGUAGCUUCGGCUACAUAUCAGUGGUAGCUUUGGCUACGUAUCAGUGGUAGCUUCAGCUACGUAUCAGUGGUAGCUUCGGCUACAUAUCAGUGUGGCACUUAUGUGCUAAUUCUCUACGUAUCUAUGUAUAUUCCGAGUGUUCAACGGGAAAUUGACUAAGUGUAAUUGAAUAAUGAAUAUAGGUGUGGAACUGAAUUGAAUAUCGACUUAGAAAUGGAAAAGUGAAUUUUGAAUUGAAUUGUGAUUGAAAGUGAAAAAGUGAAAUUAUGAAAGAGUACAUUUAGCAACAAAACAGUUUAGAUAGCAACAGUUGUGUGACUUUGAAAAAUCACCAAAAAUGGUGGAAAUUUAAUUAGAGGCUGAAUAAUAUAUGAAAUUGAA
Molecule: long non-coding RNA, 1367 nt
Filed under: Gossypium raimondii (Peruvian cotton)
Lineage: Eukaryota; Viridiplantae; Streptophyta; Magnoliopsida; Malvales; Malvaceae
Description: long non-coding RNA (GRAI_LNC010004)
Source: RNAcentral